Molecule: long non-coding RNA, 780 nt
Filed under: Homo sapiens (human)
Lineage: Eukaryota; Metazoa; Chordata; Mammalia; Primates; Hominidae
Description: HSALNT0350469
Source: RNAcentral
CCAGAUCUCAUGGAGAGACAAGCAAAGGGGAGUGGGUGGCAUGUUUUGCAGAAGGGUGAAUCUCAAACUACACAGGGAAUGAAAGAAUGCUGGACACUGGAGAGAGGGGUGGAAGAGUGGCUCUACAUUUACUGAGUUCUGUGACCUAAGACAAGUCACAGGUUUUUUGUUUGUUUGUUUAUUUUUGAGAUGGAGUCUCAUCCUUUCACCCAAGCUGGAGUGCAGUGGCAUGAUCUCGGCUCACUGCAACCUCUGUCUCCUGGAUUCAAGUGAUUCUCCUGCCUCAGCCUCCCCAGUAGCUGGGACUACAGGGACUAUUUUGGCGUGUCCCACACACAGCAUCAAGGGAGGGGGGUACAAGAAGAAGCAGAGUGAGACCAGAGUGGAGUGGGAGCCAAAACAGGUGGGCGUCUGUGCAGAAAGCAACAUGGAUGCAGCUGGAGGCCAUUAUCUUAAGUGAAUUAACGAAGGAACGGAAAACCAAGAAAGGCAUGUUCUCACUUAUAAGUGGGAGCUAAGCAUUGAGUACUCAAGGACAUAAAGAUGGCAAAAGUACACCCUGGGGACUACUAGAGAGGGGAGGGAGUGAGGGGGGCAAGGGUUGAAAAACUAAUUGUUGGGCACUACACUCACCACCUGGGUAAUGGGAUCAUUUGUAUCUCAAACCUCUGCAUCACGAAAUAUACCCAUGUAGCAAACCUGUGCAUGUACUCCCUGAAUCUAAAAUAAAAGCUGAAAUUAUAAAAUAAAAAUAGAACAAUCGAUAAAAAAAGAAAAAAC